GCUCAGGUGCACAUUCAAGUGUUCAUUUUCUGUAUACACACGUGUGGCAGAAUGAGCCUGUUCAAAACUACACGCACAAAUUUACACACACACGCAAACACACAAAUGGUCAAUCAGAGAAUGGCCUGUCAUCUUUCUCCCUCCGACGCUCCUCCCUCCUUAAUAACAUCAUUAAUCAGGAGUGCCAGCGCAGAGAUAUGGGUCGAUAAACAAUUUGGUGCAACAUGCCUAAUGGAAACCGGAGUCAUUUAAUAUAUUCACCUGCUUGUAAAUCCUAGAGAUUAGACCCUGCUGUCUGGAACCCGCCCACCAAAGGUAUUAUGCAAUACUUGAUACUCUAAGGUUUUAUCACUCAGCAUACUCAACACCUGUUGCACAACAGGAUCUCUGCUGCCUUUUACAAGGUUGGUUGACGUCUUUGAUUCAAGUUUGAUGUUAAUGAAAACACUUACAAUAAAACAAAUAUUUUUUCUCUUCAAGAAUCUAUGUCCCAAGCAGUUUCUGAUGUGGCUGGAAGGCAACGGUCUCAGACAAAUGCGCCUCUUAAACUGGGAUAAUCAUCUUACAUUUUAGGUAAUACAAUACAAGAGUGCUUCUAGAUAUAAUCAAAAGACAUAAAUCUUACUCAAUUAAUAAGAGCAUGUUUAAUUAGGAACCAUGGAUUUUGAAAAAUAACUAGAAAAUGCAUUUCCUGCUGAAAAUGAGUUGGAAUGAAAUAGCUGAAAGCUGAAAUGACUUUUAAAAAAUAGCUGAAAUUACAGAAAGUUGAGGGGAAUUUGAAUACAUUUGCUGAAAUUACAGAUAUUAGAAAAGGCAAGACAAGGCAAUUUUAUUUGUAUAGCACUUUUCAUACACAAGGCAGACUCAAAGUGCUUCACAUUAUAACAUUUCAUACAAUAAAGUGAAAUAAAAUGCAGGAACUAAAAGACAAUUAAAAACAGCAAAUAAAAUUAUAAAUUAAAAUCUUAUUUAAAUUGUUUAAUUAAAGGCAGAAGUUAAAAGUGCAAUGUAGGUAAAAUUUAGCAGAAGGGGAAGCUGAACAUAAAAGUUUUCAGUCUUGUUUUAAACGUGGUCAGAGUUGGGGCAAGUCUUAAAUCUUCAGGAAGUUUAUUCCAGCUGUUUGUUGCGUAGUAACUAAAUGAUGCUUUCCCAUGAUUUGCAUUUACUCUGGGAAUCACUAACAGAUUGGUGUCAGAAGAUCUUAGUGAUCUUGAAGGCUUAUGUAGUAGAAGCAUAUCAGUGAUAUACUUUGGCCCUAAACCAUGUAGUGAUUUAUAUGUGAGCAGUAGGAUUUAAGAAUAGAAGAAGUAGAAGUUAAGAAUUGGUGUAAUGUGCUCACAUUUUUUGGUCUUUGUUAGAACUCUAGCAGCAGCGUUCUGAACAAGCUGGAGCUGCCUGACAGGUCUUGAGCUGACAUGAGCCCUCUAAGUCGUGCUACAUUUUUGACGUGGUAGUAGGCCGAUUUUGUUACUGAUUUGAUCUCUCCAAGUGUAAAUCAGAAUCCAUAAUAACCCCCAGAUUUCUGGCUUUAUUUGAUGUUUUCAGGGACAGAGAGUGAAGGUGUUGGGUUACUUUAAACUUUUUUAGCACCAAAUACAAUGAUCUCAGUUUUGUCUUCAAAAGCUGAAAUUAAUUUGAAAUUGCUGAAAAUACAGAAAUGGGAGAAGCUGCAUGGAAUUUCAAUAGAUUUGAUGAAAAAGCAGAAAUGAAAAAAGCUGAAAUAAAUGUGAAAUAUUAAAAAAAAAAUAC
Molecule: long non-coding RNA, 1749 nt
Organism: Gasterosteus aculeatus aculeatus (three-spined stickleback)
Lineage: Eukaryota; Metazoa; Chordata; Actinopteri; Perciformes; Gasterosteidae
Source: Ensembl